Molecule: ribosomal RNA, 2916 nt
Filed under: Escherichia coli
Lineage: Bacteria; Pseudomonadati; Pseudomonadota; Gammaproteobacteria; Enterobacterales; Enterobacteriaceae
Description: partial 23S ribosomal RNA
Rfam family: Bacterial large subunit ribosomal RNA
Source: RNAcentral
GACUAAGCGUACACGGUGGAUGCCCUGGCAGUCAGAGGCGAUGAAGGACGUGCUAAUCUGCGAUAAGCGUCGGUAAGGUGAUAUGAACCGUUAUAACCGGCGAUUUCCGAAUGGGGAAACCCAGUGUGAUUCGUCACACUAUCAUUAACUGAAUCCAUAGGUUAAUGAGGCGAACCGGGGGAACUGAAACAUCUAAGUACCCCGAGGAAAAGAAAUCAACCGAGAUUCCCCCAGUAGCGGCGAGCGAACGGGGAGGAGCCCAGAGCCUGAAUCAGUGUGUGUGUUAGUGGAAGCGUCUGGAAAGGCGCGCGAUACAGGGUGACAGCCCCGUACACAAAAAUGCACAUGCUGUGAGCUCGAUGAGUAGGGCGGGACACGUGGUAUCCUGUCUGAAUAUGGGGGGACCAUCCUCCAAGGCUAAAUACUCCUGACUGACCGAUAGUGAACCAGUACCGUGAGGGAAAGGCGAAAAGAACCCCGGCGAGGGGAGUGAAAAAGAACCUGAAACCGUGUACGUACAAGCAGUGGGAGCACAGAGCAAUCUGUGUGACUGCGUACCUUUUGUAUAAUGGGUCAGCGACUUAUAUUCUGUAGCAAGGUUAACCGAAUAGGGGAGCCGAAGGGAAACCGAGUCUUAACUGGGCGUUAAGUUGCAGGGUAUAGACCCGAAACCCGGUGAUCUAGCCAUGGGCAGGUUGAAGGUUGGGUAACACUAACUGGAGGACCGAACCGACUAAUGUUGAAAAAUUAGCGGAUGACUUGUGGCUGGGGGUGAAAGGCCAAUCAAACCGGGAGAUAGCUGGUUCUCCCCGAAAGCUAUUUAGGUAGCGCCUCGUGAAUUCAUCUCCGGGGGUAGAGCACUGUUUCGGCAAGGGGGUCAUCCCGACUUACCAACCCGAUGCAAACUGCGAAUACCGGAGAAUGUUAUCACGGGAGACACACGGCGGGUGCUAACGUCCGUCGUGAAGAGGGAAACAACCCAGACCGCCAGCUAAGGUCCCAAAGUCAUGGUUAAGUGGGAAACGAUGUGGGAAGGCCCAGACAGCCAGGAUGUUGGCUUAGAAGCAGCCAUCAUUUAAAGAAAGCGUAAUAGCUCACUGGUCGAGUCGGCCUGCGCGGAAGAUGUAACGGGGCUAAACCAUGCACCGAAGCUGCGGCAGCGACGCUUAUGCGUUGUUGGGUAGGGGAGCGUUCUGUAAGCCUGCGAAGGUGUGCUGUGAGGCAUGCUGGAGGUAUCAGAAGUGCGAAUGCUGACAUAAGUAACGAUAAAGCGGGUGAAAAGCCCGCUCGCCGGAAGACCAAGGGUUCCUGUCCAACGUUAAUCGGGGCAGGGUGAGUCGACCCCUAAGGCGAGGCCGAAAGGCGUAGUCGAUGGGAAACAGGUUAAUAUUCCUGUACUUGGUGUUACUGCGAAGGGGGGACGGAGAAGGCUAUGUUGGCCGGGCGACGGUUGUCCCGGUUUAAGCGUGUAGGCUGGUUUUCCAGGCAAAUCCGGAAAAUCAAGGCUGAGGCGUGAUGACGAGGCACUACGGUGCUGAAGCAACAAAUGCCCUGCUUCCAGGAAAAGCCUCUAAGCAUCAGGUAACAUCAAAUCGUACCCCAAACCGACACAGGUGGUCAGGUAGAGAAUACCAAGGCGCUUGAGAGAACUCGGGUGAAGGAACUAGGCAAAAUGGUGCCGUAACUUCGGGAGAAGGCACGCUGAUAUGUAGGUGAAGCGACUUGCUCGUGGAGCUGAAAUCAGUCGAAGAUACCAGCUGGCUGCAACUGUUUAUUAAAAACACAGCACUGUGCAAACACGAAAGUGGACGUAUACGGUGUGACGCCUGCCCGGUGCCGGAAGGUUAAUUGAUGGGGUCAGCGCAAGCGAAGCUCUUGAUCGAAGCCCCGGUAAACGGCGGCCGUAACUAUAACGGUCCUAAGGUAGCGAAAUUCCUUGUCGGGUAAGUUCCGACCUGCACGAAUGGCGUAAUGAUGGCCAGGCUGUCUCCACCCGAGACUCAGUGAAAUUGAACUCGCUGUGAAGAUGCAGUGUACCCGCGGCAAGACGGAAAGACCCCGUGAACCUUUACUAUAGCUUGACACUGAACAUUGAGCCUUGAUGUGUAGGAUAGGUGGGAGGCUUUGAAGUGUGGACGCCAGUCUGCAUGGAGCCGACCUUGAAAUACCACCCUUUAAUGUUUGAUGUUCUAACGUGGACCCGUAAUCCGGGUUGCGGACAGUGUCUGGUGGGUAGUUUGACUGGGGCGGUCUCCUCCUAAAGAGUAACGGAGGAGCACGAAGGUUGGCUAAUCCUGGUCGGACAUCAGGAGGUUAGUGCAAUGGCAUAAGCCAGCUUGACUGCGAGCGUGACGGCGCGAGCAGGUGCGAAAGCAGGUCAUAGUGAUCCGGUGGUUCUGAAUGGAAGGGCCAUCGCUCAACGGAUAAAAGGUACUCCGGGGAUAACAGGCUGAUACCGCCCAAGAGUUCAUAUCGACGGCGGUGUUUGGCACCUCGAUGUCGGCUCAUCACAUCCUGGGGCUGAAGUAGGUCCCAAGGGUAUGGCUGUUCGCCAUUUAAAGUGGUACGCGAGCUGGGUUUAGAACGUCGUGAGACAGUUCGGUCCCUAUCUGCCGUGGGCGCUGGAGAACUGAGGGGGGCUGCUCCUAGUACGAGAGGACCGGAGUGGACGCAUCACUGGUGUUCGGGUUGUCAUGCCAAUGGCACUGCCCGGUAGCUAAAUGCGGAAGAGAUAAGUGCUGAAAGCAUCUAAGCACGAAACUUGCCCCGAGAUGAGUUCUCCCUGACUCCUUGAGAGUCCUGAAGGAACGUUGAAGACGACGACGUUGAUAGGCCGGGUGUGUAAGCGCAGCGAUGCGUUGAGCUAACCGGUACUAAUGAACCGUGAGGCUUAACCUUACAACGCCGAAGGUGUUU